RNAcentral lists this ribosomal RNA (255 nucleotides) under uncultured bacterium. RNAcentral's name for it is "partial 16S ribosomal RNA". It matches the Rfam family "Bacterial small subunit ribosomal RNA", at positions 524 to 776 of the family's 1533-position model. The record is from RNAcentral.
UACGAAGGGGGCUAGCGUUGCUCGGAAUUACUGGGCGUAAAGGGCGCGUAGGCGGAUACUUAAGUCGGGGGUGAAAGCCCAGGGCUCAACCCUGGAACAGCCUUCGAUACUGGGUAUCUUGAGUACGGGAGAGGUGUGUGGAACUCCGAGUGUAGAGGUGAAAUUCGUAGAUAUUCGGAAGAACACCAGUGGCGAAGGCGACACACUGGCCCGUUACUGACGCCUGAGGCGCGAAAGCGUGGGGAGCAAAACAGG